Molecule: ribosomal RNA, 216 nt
Filed under: uncultured bacterium
Lineage: Bacteria
Description: partial 16S ribosomal RNA
Rfam family: Bacterial small subunit ribosomal RNA
Source: RNAcentral
UGGGAACGUGCCUUUUGGUUCGGAACAACCCAGGGAAACUUGGGCUAAUACCGGAUAAGCCCUUACGGGGGAAAGAUUUAUCGCCAAAAGAUCGGCCCGCGUCUGAUUAGCUAGUUGGUGGGGUAAUGGCCCACCAAGGCUACGAUCAGUAGCUGGUCUGAGAGGAUGAUCAGCCACAUUGGGACUGAGACACGGCCCAAACUCCUACGGGAGCAG